Molecule: ribosomal RNA, 253 nt
Filed under: uncultured bacterium
Lineage: Bacteria
Description: partial 16S ribosomal RNA
Rfam family: Bacterial small subunit ribosomal RNA
Source: RNAcentral
AACGUAGGAGACAAACGUUAUCCGGAGUUACUGGGCGUAAAGGGCGUGUAGGUGGUAUCGUAAGUCUGGCGUGAAAUUUCUCGGCUUAACCGAGGCAGGUCGUCGGAUACUGCGAGGCUAGAGGACGGUAGAGGCGUGUGGAAUUCCCGGUGUAGUGGUGGAAUGCGUAGAUAUCGGGAGGAACACCAGUGGCGAAGGCGGUUGCCUGGAGCUUUGCUGACGCUGAUGCGCGAAAGCGUGGGGAGCGAUCCGG